RNAcentral lists this ribosomal RNA (522 nucleotides) under uncultured bacterium. RNAcentral describes it as "bacterial SSU rRNA". It matches the Rfam family "Bacterial small subunit ribosomal RNA", at positions 16 to 518 of the family's 1533-position model. The record is from RNAcentral.
AUCCUGGCUCAGAACGAACGCUGGCGGCGUGCUUAACACAUGCAAGUCGAACGCGAAAGGGACUUCGGUCCUGAGUAAAGUGGCGCACGGGUGAGUAACGCGUAGAUAACCUGUCUUCAUGUCUGGAAUAAUACGCCGAAAGGGGUACUAAUACCGGAUAUUCUUGCUUUUCAUAAGUUAUGCAAGCAAAGGUGGCCUCUGCAUAUGCUACUGCAUGAAGAGGGGUCUGCGUACCAUUAGCUAGUAGGUGGGGUAAUGGCCUACCUAGGCGACGAUGGUUAGCGGGUCUGAGAGGAUGAUCCGCCACACUGGCACUGGAACACGGGCCAGACUCCUACGGGAGGCAGCAGUGAGGAAUAUUGCGCAAUGGGGGAAACCCUGACGCAGCGACGCCGCGUGAGUGAGGAAGGCCUUCGGGUCGUAAAGCUCUGUCAAGAGGAAAGAAGUGUACAAUGGCUAAUACCUGUUGUAUUUGACGGUACCUCUAAAGGAAGCACCGGCUAACUCCGUGCCAGCCGCCGC